Molecule: long non-coding RNA, 1312 nt
Organism: Esox lucius (northern pike)
Lineage: Eukaryota; Metazoa; Chordata; Actinopteri; Esociformes; Esocidae
Source: Ensembl
GUCCUUUCGAGAUCAAGCGUGGUAGGAGUCUUGUAAAAAGAUAUGGAGUUAUCUUCACGUAUUUGGCAAUAAGAGCAGUACACAUUGAAGAUGCUUCAUCGCUGGACACAGAUUCUUGCAUUAAUGCACUGCGGCGCUUCAUCGCAAGAAGAGGACAGGUCAAGGAGUUGCGGUCAGACAACGGCACCAACUUUGUCGGCGCAGAGCGUGAGUUGAGACGAGCCAUUGAAGGAUGGAACUUGGAACAGAUCAAUGAUGCACUCUCAUUAAAAGGAAUAAAAUGUACCUUCAACCCACUGGAUCACAUCAUGGAGGAGCAUGGGAGAGGUUGAUUCGUUUUGUCAGAAAGGUCCUUAACGCAACAUUAAGGACACAAAGUCUGGAUGAGGAAUCACUCUGCACAGUGCUUUGUGAAGUGGAAUCAAUUCUCAACAGUAGACCCCUCACCAAGGAAUCGACAGGUCCUAACGAUUUGGAAGCAUUAACUCCGAACCACCUUCUGCUUCUUAAAACGAAACCCUGUUUUCCUCUUGGACUAUUUCAGAAAGAGGACAUGUAUGCACAACGAAGAUGGAAGCAAGUCCAAUACAUGGCUGAUUUGUUUUGGAAAAGGUGGACUAAGGAGUAUUUACCACAACUGCAGGAACAACAAAAAUGGGCAAGGAUCAAGCGGAAUUUCAUUCCUGGAGACAUCAUACUCAUAGUGGAUGAUUCUGCACCCCGUAACUCAUGGAUCGUUGGAAAGAUAACUGAAGUGGUUCCAGAGAGAAAAGGAAUCGUGAGACAAGUCUGGAUUAAGACCCAAACCAGCCGUAUAUACCGGCCUGUAACCAAGAUCUGCCUUCUUCAGGAGUUAGCCGAAUCCUGAUUGCUGUACUUGGAUAACGUGACUUUUGACUGAAUUGACUGGACUAUUUUUUGACUUUUUUCUUCUGAGAGAAAACUGAAGAUUGGCUCACAUUUGUAUGAUGGACUAUAAAUAAUAUUUUUCUUUCCCCUGCAUAUGUAAUGUUUGUGUAAUUAUUACUGCGUAAUAACUAAUAAUAAGGGGCCGGAAUGUAAGAGCUGGGUAUGUUUUUAUUAUUCUGAACACCCUUUUUGGUUAUUUACAGUAAUGAAUGCACCUGGUGGUGGUGGAGGAGGUAGAGUUUAUUAGCUGUUCAUCUGCGUGGUUUUAGAGUGGAGAUAGGGGGGGACGGGGGAAGUCAUAUUUUUGUUGACCGCUAUCUAAACGCUGUCUGAGAAGCAAUUAUGGAAUGUUUCAAUACAAGACCUUUGUUUGCUUCUCACGAUAAUAAAACGAGAAAAGGCA